This is a long non-coding RNA of Empidonax traillii (willow flycatcher), 739 nucleotides long. RefSeq lists it as uncharacterized. Lineage: Eukaryota; Metazoa; Chordata; Aves; Passeriformes; Tyrannidae. The record is from RefSeq and is a predicted model, not a curated record. The transcript has 2 exons.
ACUGAGACCUCUCUUUUUUCACAGAAAGAAAAAGGAAGGCAAAGGCCUCAAAGGUCCAGGGAUCAUGCACAAAGGAGGACUUCCAGGAGCUCAUCCAACAAAUGAAAGCUAUGUUUGAAGAUCUCCAGAAAUUGCAGGAAUCCUGUAAGUGUGAUAUUCAGCUGCUCAGAGAAGACCUGAACAAGGAACUAGGUGUGCUGAUAGAAAGUGCAUCAGGAGACAAGGGCACUGAUAGAGAGGCAUAGACAGCUCCCAAGCUGGUGAAGUAUUGAUCAACAAAAUUAAAGUCUGGCACUCGUUACAUUUCUCUGGAGCUUGGCCCCCCAGCCCCUGCACUCCCUGGGUUUGCUGUGUUAGGAAGUGCUCGUGCUGCUGGAAGACUGAGAUAAUUUUUCUGGCUUUUCUCCCUCCUAUGAGCUGGUUCCUCCUGUGCCAGGGCAGAUCCAUCGACUGCCCAGUUUCAACAAGUGAAGGGAACAGCAGCCAAAGUGCAACCCAGAGCAGAGCAGCUGAAUUACCCAGUGAGCUCCACACAAAAUCUGUGGGAAAGGUCCUGGUUUUUAAGUGGUUUUUGUGUGUAUGGAGAGUCUGGGAUGUACAGCAAUGGGGGAACUAUUUCACCUGGAGAAUGAAGUGUUCCAUUGCAACCCUGAUUUUUCUGGGGCAUGUUUACUACGCUCCCACUACCUGUCUUCUUUCCUGCUUCUGUUUUUAGUUAAUGUUUAUCGGUACAAGUGUA